CUACUUUCAGUGACAGGAGAGCAGGCAAGGUAAGGAACCUGGCUUUAUUCUUUACAAACCGUAGAACCUGUCACAACCAGAACCUGCAUAUCCCGGAUCUUCAUGGGGACCCAGGUGACCACCUCUGCUCACAGUCAUCUCAAUCCACUUCCCAAGAACCCAUAAAUGAUCUGAUUAAGGAACAGGAUCAACUGAUGCCCACCUCAACCAUCACAGACCAAGCUCAGCAGCACAGGGCACUGGGUGCAUGGAUAUUGGCUGUGUGACCUUGGGGUAGACCAGACCUGACUCCCUUAUGAAAGAGUUCAGCUCAGGCUUCUGCACGGACGGGGCU
This 334-nucleotide long non-coding RNA is filed under the name Mus pahari (shrew mouse). RNAcentral describes it as "lncRNA (MGP_PahariEiJ_G0006004.1)". The record is from RNAcentral. Lineage: Eukaryota; Metazoa; Chordata; Mammalia; Rodentia; Muridae.